ACUCCCCUAUCAAGGGUCAUGUCCUCGGUAACCUGCAUUCUGGUCAUGUCCUGUCUAAUCACCUCUCCCCAAUGCUUCUUAGGCCUCCCUCUCCCUGGCCGACCACCAACAAUCUCCAGCCGCUCGCAGCUCCUCACCGGAGCAUCGGGGCCCCUCCUCCGAGCAUGUCCGAACCACCUCAGCCUCGCUUCCCGCGUCUUAUAUAUAUGAAACUAAAUAUAUGAGAAUGAUAGUGCAACUAGAUCUCUCAAAAUUAAAGCCAUCAAACUUAUAGUAAAUUAUAAUGACAACGUAGU
RNAcentral lists this long non-coding RNA (296 nucleotides) under Nicotiana benthamiana. Its description in RNAcentral is "long non-coding RNA (NBEN_LNC033668)". Lineage: Eukaryota; Viridiplantae; Streptophyta; Magnoliopsida; Solanales; Solanaceae. The record is from RNAcentral.